This 460-nucleotide ribosomal RNA is filed under the name uncultured bacterium. Its description in RNAcentral is "partial 16S ribosomal RNA". It matches the Rfam family "Bacterial small subunit ribosomal RNA", at positions 338 to 795 of the family's 1533-position model. The record is from RNAcentral.
CCUACGGGAGGCAGCAGUGAGGAAUAUUGGUCAAUGGGCGCGAGCCUGAACCAGCCAAGUAGCGUGAAGGAUGACUGCCCUACGGGUUGUAAAUUUCUUUUAUAAAGGAAUAAAGUGCGGCACGUGUGGCUUUUUGUAUGUACUUUAUGAAUAAGGAUCGGCUAACUCCGUGCCAGCAGCCGCGGUAAUACGGAGGAUCCGAGCGUUAUCCGGAUUUAUUGGGUUUAAAGGGAGCGUAGAUGGGUUGUUAAGUCAGUUGUGAAAGUUUUCGGCUCAACCGUAAAAUUGCAAUUGAUACUGGCAGUCUUGAGUACAGUUGAGGUAGGCGGAAUUCGUGGUGUAGCGGUGAAAUGCUUAGAUAUCACGAAGAACUCCGAUUGCGAAGGCAGCUUACUAAACUGCCACUGACAUUGAUGCUCGAAAGUGUGGGUAUCAAACAGGAUUAGAUACCCGAGUAGUC